CAUCUCUGCAAAAUUUCAGCCAAUUUGGUGAUCGUUAAGUUCCUCAAACUCGAGUUUUUCUGGUAUGAACACAACCAGACAGAAUUCAAUCCGUCCAUUUGUUUUUCGAGUUUGAGGGGCUUAACGAUUACCAAAUUAGGUGAAAUUUUUCAGAGAUG
RNAcentral lists this microRNA precursor (158 nucleotides) under Fragaria vesca subsp. vesca. RNAcentral describes it as "Fragaria vesca miR11298 stem-loop (fve-MIR11298)". Lineage: Eukaryota; Viridiplantae; Streptophyta; Magnoliopsida; Rosales; Rosaceae. The record is from miRBase by way of RNAcentral.